This 541-nucleotide transfer RNA is filed under the name uncultured Prochlorococcus sp. RNAcentral describes it as "partial 16S-23S ribosomal RNA intergenic spacer". The stretch from base 211 to 283 matches the Rfam family "tRNA". Lineage: Bacteria; Bacillati; Cyanobacteriota; Cyanophyceae; Synechococcales; Prochlorococcaceae. The record is from RNAcentral.
CAGGGAGACAACAAAAUGUUUAAUAUUAUUAUUUUGUCACCUUAGGUCGAUCGGUAUCUCACAUUCUUAAUUUAUUAAGGAUUUCAUUUCCUAAGUUUUUCUAGGUCACACCCAUUAUUUUCCUGGGCCAUUAGCUCAGGUGGUUAGAGCGCACCCCUGAUAAGGGUGAGGUCCCUGGUUCAAGUCCAGGAUGGCCCAUAUCUCUAUGUUGGGGGUAUAGCUCAGUUGGUAGAGCGCCUGCUUUGCAAGCAGGAUGUCAGCGGUUCGAGUCCGCUUACCUCCACUGAUUACCACCUCUUCCAUAAUUAUGAUGAAGGAAAUGUUUUGAGUUGUGAUCAAAUUCUGAACGAUUCUAGCUUCCUAAUGAAAUCAUUAAGAUGCUGGACUCAUUGAAUUAAUUUCAUUGUUUUCAGAGAACCUUGACAACUGCAUAGAUUAUUUUUAAAGACAAUAAGCAUCUUUAAUGAUGCAGAUUUAUUAUUUGUGCGAAUGCAUUAAAUAACAAUUCUAUUAAGCUGAUGCUUCAAUUAUUGAAGUUAUU